AUUGAACGCUGGCGGCAGGCCUAACACAUGCAAGUCGAACGAGUGGCGGACGGGUGAGUAAUGUCUGGGAAUCUGCCCGAUGGAGGGGGAUAACUACUGGAAACGGUAGCUAAUACCGCAUACCAUCGGAUGUGCCCAUAUGGGAUUAGCUGGUAGGUGGGGUAACGGCUCACCUAGGCGACGAUCCCUAGCUGGUCUGAGAGGAUGACCAGCCACACUGGACCUGAGACACGGCCCAGACUCCUACGGGAGGCAGCAGUGGGGAAGAUUGCACAAUGGGCGCAAGCCUGAUGCAGCCAUGCCGCGUGUAUGAAGAAGGCCUUCGGGUUGUAAAGUACGUUCAGUUGGGAGGCGUUACUCACAGAAGAAGCACCGGCUAACUCCGUGCCAGCAGCCGCGGUAAUUC
Molecule: ribosomal RNA, 406 nt
Filed under: uncultured bacterium
Lineage: Bacteria
Description: partial 16S ribosomal RNA
Rfam family: Bacterial small subunit ribosomal RNA
Source: RNAcentral